AUUUGGAAUUUUCUCCUUCGUCUUCAGGUAGUGCUUCACCCUGAACAUGAUCCAGCUGCGACUCUAAUAGUUGUCCGUAUGGGUUGAGUGUACAUCUAUGUAUAGCUCACAUUUGAAUAGAAAAUUGACUCUGAAAGAAUGGUGAAAUGACACUUGUAUAGCCUCGGGAAUCGGUUCAAAUGCCAUUGGCGCACAAAGAAAAAGUGGACACAGAUUUGCCUGGACAACAAAAUAGAUCUUGGUCAUUUCCAACUGACCUGUUUUGGUAAGUUAAAAAGUCCAUUUUAAUUGCUUGUCCAAAAUCCAAAUGUACAGGAGGGAAUCGGAGUAGUGCUGAUUACUAAUGAUGGGGGUGGUUGAGAUAUUAUCCACCAAUUAGGUUGCAUUCUUUUUAAUGUAAGCAGUUUCUUCUGCAAUUGAACAUCAAAGGACAAUUGAGGGGAGGAAAUAUGCAAGCAUAAAAAGACAAUUGAUAAUUGUUCCACUGAGCUCCAUGGAAACGCUCAGUUACUGUCUUGUGAUUUGAUGUCCACAACUUAAACAUAAUUUUUAAGCGAAGCACACUGUAUUCUUCUAAAA
RNAcentral lists this unclassified non-coding RNA (579 nucleotides) under Hevea brasiliensis (rubber tree). Lineage: Eukaryota; Viridiplantae; Streptophyta; Magnoliopsida; Malpighiales; Euphorbiaceae. The record is from RNAcentral.